AGCAGCAUUGGGCUAUUUAUUAAUCCUAUAAUUAGACAUGGCCUAGGAGGGCUAGGCCAGGUCCUAAAAAAUAAAUGAUGUAUAAUAUUAAUAAUGAGUAAGCCUAGGCCUGUAAUAUAUGACAUACUGUACCUAGGCCUAAGUUAGUAAAUAGUCAUUGAUUUUACUUUUUCAGAUUAACGUUCAAUACUCUAUCCACUACAACUGCAAGUUCUGGAUUCAACUCUCCAACAGCUUUUUGCAUAUGGACAACAAACACCAGGAGCAAUACCCAUUGUUGUAGGUUUUCAAGAUAGGCUGAUUUGUACUGGAGCACCAUUGACCACACCAGCGGAUCAAGAAUCAGCAACAAACAAGAUCAAGAGAUGGGAUGAAGAAUGGACAAUGAUUCAGUAAAAGAGAUGCUCAAUUCAAAUAUUUUUAGCUACAAAUAUAAUUCGAAGAGCCGAGGUUUGCGAUUAGUCCAAUCAAAGCGACAACGGACUGAAAUUUAUUACCAUGAAUUCUUUUAUGUCCAUUUUACUUAAUUCUUUGCGACUGUACAGGUCUACAAACGGGUCGAACCGUCCCAUCUAUGAACCCCCCCACCCAACAGUUGUUGAGCGGUGCGCCCUUAGUUUGAAUAACAUUACAAAAUUCUUGAAGCUUACCUGGAGCAAGUCAUGGCUGUUGGAGGGUUUCCAAAAGAUGGUUACAAUUGUCGUAAAUAAUGAUAUCCAAGAUUUUGGACGUUGCCAAAAUCAACUCUGUUACUGACCGAGUAUCAACAUGGAUACGCAAAACGAUAAAAAAAACAUACAAAAUGCCUCGAUUCCAUCAAAUACGGAUCCACUUUUGCAUCGCACUUCAUGCGGAAUACUUAAAACAUCAUAAAGUUGAUAAAUGUCCUUUUCAAAUCUUGAAUUAAAUAAUUUUAUUUUGUAUAUAUAUAUUAAUGUUAAGUGUAUAUAUAUAUAUAUAUAUAUAUAUAUAUAUACAGGUAUAUUGAUAUUGGCUUGUGUGUGAGGAGCUAAAGCGGCAGAGGCAUAUUCAAGAGUGGGUCUAACGAAGGUGGUGUAGCCUUGUGCCUUAAAGACCGUCUGACAAGCUGAAUUAUAAUGACUUAUAUCAUAAGAAAAUAUACAAAUAUAUAUUUGUAUGUAUGUAUGUAUAUGAUAAUAAUAAUAAUAUAUCAAUGCGAUAUAUAAUUACAUGUUCUAACUGGACUCUGUACAUAGGAUGUAUACAUUGUGCCUGUAUUUAACAUUUUUCAAUCAUUGUCAAUCUAAAGUCAGAGUUAUGUCCUGGUUUCGACCCUUUAACUUCACUAUUGGAUAGGCUUAUCUUCAUAAGACCUCUAUGAAUAAUUACUGUAGUGUGUAGUGUUAUAAUUGCUAUGUGCUUGUUUGUAAAUUUGACAUUUUGGUAAAAUUAAUGAAUAAUUGACACACUGCCUUAAUUCAACUUUUAUUAUUUAUUUAUUAUUAAAUUGUAUUUAUAAUAUUUUAUUGAUGGAUGCUUAAUAUAAUUUUAUCUGGUGGUCAUGGCUUAAAGUUUGAUUCUAAACUUAUUUUGGCCUCUUAA
Molecule: long non-coding RNA, 1563 nt
Filed under: Anneissia japonica
Lineage: Eukaryota; Metazoa; Echinodermata; Crinoidea; Comatulida; Comatulidae
Description: uncharacterized LOC117113454
Source: RNAcentral